This 211-nucleotide ribosomal RNA is filed under the name uncultured bacterium. Its description in RNAcentral is "partial 16S ribosomal RNA". It matches the Rfam family "Bacterial small subunit ribosomal RNA", at positions 524 to 733 of the family's 1533-position model. The record is from RNAcentral.
UACGUAGGGUGCAAGCGUUGUCCGGAAUUAUUGGGCGUAAAGAGCUCGUAGGCGGUCUGUCGCGUCUGCUGUGAAAACUCAGGGCUUAACCCUGAGCUUGCAGUGGGUACGGGCAGACUAGAGUGCGGUAGGGGAGACUGGAAUUCCUGGUGUAGCGGUGAAAUGCGCAGAUAUCAGGAGGGAACACCGGUGGCGAAGGCGGGUCUCUGGG